Molecule: ribosomal RNA, 297 nt
Filed under: Klebsiella pneumoniae
Lineage: Bacteria; Pseudomonadati; Pseudomonadota; Gammaproteobacteria; Enterobacterales; Enterobacteriaceae
Description: partial 23S ribosomal RNA
Rfam family: Bacterial large subunit ribosomal RNA
Source: RNAcentral
UCCGGGGUUAACAGGCUGAUACCGCCGAAGAGUUCAUAUAGUCGGCGGUGUUUGGCACAUCGAUGUCCGCUCAGCAAACCCUGCGGCUGGAAUAGGUACCAAGGUUAUGGCUGUUCCCCAUUUACAGUGGUACGCGUGUUUGAUUUAGAACUCCGUGUGCAAUAUCGGUCCCUAGCUGCAUUGGGCUCUCGGGGGUUGAUGGGGGCUGCCUCAAGUACUAGCGGACCGGAGUGGACGCAUCAGUGGUGUUCGUCUUGUGCGUGAUGUGACCAGUGCAGGGUGCUAUGUUAGGAAGAG